This 75-nucleotide transfer RNA is filed under the name Aureispira sp. CCB-E. RNAcentral's name for it is "tRNA-Val". It matches the Rfam family "tRNA". From Rfam's summary of the family: Transfer RNA (tRNA) molecules are approximately 80 nucleotides in length. Their secondary structure includes four short double-helical elements and three loops (D, anti-codon, and T loops). RNAcentral also lists the same sequence under 1 other name. Lineage: Bacteria; Pseudomonadati; Bacteroidota; Saprospiria; Saprospirales; Saprospiraceae. The record is from RNAcentral.
CCGAGCGUAGCUCAGUUGGUUUAGAGCACUACCUUGACAGGGUAGGGGUCACUGGUUCGAAUCCAGUCGUUUGGA